Molecule: transfer RNA, 74 nt
Filed under: Saccoglossus kowalevskii
Lineage: Eukaryota; Metazoa; Hemichordata; Enteropneusta; Harrimaniidae
Description: tRNA-Asn
Rfam family: tRNA
About the family: Transfer RNA (tRNA) molecules are approximately 80 nucleotides in length. Their secondary structure includes four short double-helical elements and three loops (D, anti-codon, and T loops). Further hydrogen bonds mediate the characteristic L-shaped molecular structure. tRNAs have two regions of fundamental functional importance: the anti-codon, which is responsible for specific mRNA codon recognition, and the 3' end, to which the tRNAs corresponding amino acid is attached (by aminoacyl-tRNA synthetases). tRNAs cope with the degeneracy of the genetic code in two manners: having more than one tRNA (with a specific anti-codon) for a particular amino acid; and 'wobble' base-pairing, i.e. permitting non-standard base-pairing at the 3rd anti-codon position.
Source: RNAcentral
GUCUCAGUGGCGCAAUCGUUUAGCGCGUUCUUCUGUUAACCGAAAGGUUGGUGGUUCAAACCCACCCUGGGACG